This 491-nucleotide ribosomal RNA is filed under the name uncultured bacterium. Its description in RNAcentral is "bacterial SSU rRNA". It matches the Rfam family "Bacterial small subunit ribosomal RNA", at positions 29 to 496 of the family's 1533-position model. The record is from RNAcentral.
AACGAACGCUGGCGGCGGGGCUUAGGCAUGCAAGUCGAGCGGGAAAGUCUUCGGACGAGUACAGCGGCGUAAGGGUGAGUAAUAGGUAGUUCACGUGCCCUCGUGACGCGAAUAAUUUCCCGAAAGGGAUUGUAAUGCGCGAUGAGACCACAGUUCUUACGGGAACAGAGGUCAAAAGUCGGGGAUCCUUCGGGACCCGGCGCAUGAGGAGCGGACGACCUCCGAUUAGCUAGAUGGCGGGGUAACGGCCCACCAUGGCGAUGAUCGGUAGCCGGCCUGAGAGGGUGUACGGCCACACUGGGACUGAGACACUGCCCAGACUCCUACGGGAGGCUGCAGUCGCGAAUCAUUCACAAUGGACGCAAGUCUGAUGAUGCCACGCCGCGUGCGGGAUGAAGGCCCUUUGGGUUGUAAACCGCUGUACAAGGGAAGGGAACCGCUGAACGUUAAUAGCGUUCAGUCUGACUGUCUUUACUAAAGGAACGCCCCGG